This 73-nucleotide transfer RNA is filed under the name Camelus bactrianus (Bactrian camel). It matches the Rfam family "tRNA". Rfam says of the family: Transfer RNA (tRNA) molecules are approximately 80 nucleotides in length. The record is from Rfam by way of RNAcentral. RNAcentral also lists the same sequence under 2 other names. Lineage: Eukaryota; Metazoa; Chordata; Mammalia; Artiodactyla; Camelidae.
GAGGGUAUAGCUCAAGUGGCAGAGUGCAUGCUCAGCAGGCACAAGGUCCUGGGUUUAAUUCCUAGUACCUCCA